This 270-nucleotide long non-coding RNA is filed under the name Phoenix dactylifera (date palm). RNAcentral describes it as "long non-coding RNA (PDAC_LNC017201)". Lineage: Eukaryota; Viridiplantae; Streptophyta; Magnoliopsida; Arecales; Arecaceae. The record is from RNAcentral.
CAAAAUAUAGGGAAGGGCUUCUUCUAAAAGAUCGUCCAUUUUAUCUAUUAGGAAGCACUCAACUUCCUUUGCGGGUUGAUCAGAGGCACGAAAUAUAUUUAACUUAACCUUCAUAUUUCCAAAGGAUAUAUUCAUCACCCCAGUUCUACAAUUUAUACUCGCAUUGGCUGUAGCUAAAAAGGGACGCCCAAGGAUCACGGAGAUUUGUUUCUUAGGAUUAGGCUCAUGUUCCAUAUCAAGGACGAUAAAAUCUACUGGAAAAUAGAAUUU